CUCAAAUUCAAUAUUUUUGAAGGUCUACGACUCUAUGUUUUCUUUACUACCAAUUAUUAAACAAGUCCCUGUUUGUCCAAACUCUGAUGGGCAUUUCUGCUCUUUAAAAUCAAUUCUUGUGGCUAAUGAAACCAAUAUGUAUCGGAUAUUAGAUGAAAUUCCCAGAUUUCAAAGUCCAGUUGCCUAGGAAUUACUGAUUCUUUCCUUGUUUGCUUUAAUCUGGGGAGAUCAAAGGUAACCCAAAUAUGCUCAUGACUUACUAUUUGUCAUUCAAUCUUAUUUCACUGGACGGAGGUUGAAGAUAAAGCUAAUUUGAAUCUCCAUCUCUCUCUACAUGCUUAACUGCAUAGAUAUUUGGCUCACCGAUGUGGUCUCUUUUCUUUUUUAGACAGAUUGUGGGCAUAAAGGUUAGAUUGAACUCAGAAAUCUUGUUGUGAAUAAUAGCUCUUCUAUGCUUUCUUUCACCUAUGAUAGUUCAUCCAUUGCAAUAUAUUGUUGGUGGAAAUUUUAAUUUUGAGUGAUGUAACUUUUGAUCUGAGGUUGAGAAUUGUGUUGCUGAAGUUAUCCUUGCGGGUAUCUGUUACAUUGCCGCAGUUAGUUACGUGGGUUAAGCUUACUUAAAUGAUCUGUCCAUAAUCUACUGUAUAAUUUAUGAUACAAUAUCAAUUAUCAAUAUUAUGACCCAUUUACUUAUUGAAUCCGAGGAUUAGCAAUAAAGAACAAAACACAUAAUUCUA
RNAcentral lists this unclassified non-coding RNA (737 nucleotides) under Hevea brasiliensis (rubber tree). The record is from RNAcentral. Lineage: Eukaryota; Viridiplantae; Streptophyta; Magnoliopsida; Malpighiales; Euphorbiaceae.